RNAcentral lists this ribosomal RNA (225 nucleotides) under uncultured bacterium. RNAcentral describes it as "partial 16S ribosomal RNA". It matches the Rfam family "Bacterial small subunit ribosomal RNA", at positions 524 to 739 of the family's 1533-position model. The record is from RNAcentral.
UACGUAGGGGGCGAGCGUUGUCCGGAUUUAUCGUGGGCGUAAAAGGCUCGUAGGUGGCGUUCGGUCCAGUCGGACGUGAAAUCUCCCGGCUUAACUGGGAGGGGUGCCGCUUCGAUACUAGCGGGCUCGAGGUCGGUAGGAGGGAAGCGGAAUUCCGGGUGUAGUGGUGGAAUACGUAGAUAUCCGGAGGAACACCAGUGGCGAAGGCGGCUCCUGGAGCCGAUU